CCUACGUGUGGCAGCAGUGAGGAAUAUUGGUCAAUGGGCGCAAGCCUGAACCAGCCAAGUCGCGUGAGGGAUGACGGUCCUAUGGAUUGUAAACCUCUUUUGUCGGGGAGCAAGGCCCGCCACGUGUGGCGGGAAGGAGAGUACCCGAAGAAAAAGCAUCGGCUAACUCCGUGCCAGCAGCCGCGGUAAUACGGAGGAUGCGAGCGUUAUCCGGAUUUAUUGGGUUUAAAGGGUGCGUAGGCGGGUUAUCAAGUCAGCGGUAAAAUCGUGGAGCUCAACUCCAUCCAGCCGUUGAAACUGAUGAUCUUGAGUGGGCGAGAAGUAUGCGGAAUGCGUGGUGUAGCGGUGAAAUGCAUAGAUAUCACGCAGAACUCCGAUUGCGAAGGCAGCAUACCGGCGCCCGACUGACGCUGAAGCACGAAAGCGUGGGUAUCGAACAGGAUUAGAUACCCGGGUAGUC
Molecule: ribosomal RNA, 460 nt
Filed under: uncultured bacterium
Lineage: Bacteria
Description: partial 16S ribosomal RNA
Rfam family: Bacterial small subunit ribosomal RNA
Source: RNAcentral